ACGGGAGGCAGCAGUGGGGAAUAUUGCACAAUGGGGGAAACCCUGAUGCAGCAACGCCGCGUGAGUGAAGAAGUAUUUCGGUAUGUAAAGCUCUAUCAGCAGGGAAGAAAAUGACGGUACCUGACUAAGAAGCCCCGGCUAACUACGUGCCAGCAGCCGCGGUAAUACGUAGGGGGCAAGCGUUAUCCGGAUUUACUGGGUGUAAAGGGUGCGUAGACGGUUUGGCAAGUCAGAAGUGAAAUCCCGGGGCUUAACUCCGGUGCUGCUUUUGAAACUGUCAGACUAGAGUGCUGGAGGGGCAAGCGGAAUUCCUAGUGUAGCGGUGAAAUGCGUAGAUAUUAGGAGGAACACCAGUGGCGAAGGCGGCUUACUGGACUGUAACUGACGUUGAGGCUCGAAAGCGUGGGGAGCAAACAGGAUUAGAUACCCUGGUA
Molecule: ribosomal RNA, 434 nt
Filed under: uncultured Lachnospiraceae bacterium
Lineage: Bacteria; Bacillati; Bacillota; Clostridia; Lachnospirales; Lachnospiraceae
Description: partial 16S ribosomal RNA
Rfam family: Bacterial small subunit ribosomal RNA
Source: RNAcentral